ACAGAUAUCCACUCCCUAUCCUAGUGAGUAUACCAUAUCUGGUCUCAUACAUGGUAUACAUAAUAGAGUAAAUUCUACUCAUAAACACUCUAUAUACGUAGACUGGGAUAAUCUAAGCAGCCUUUUAGAUCUAUCUCUAUAGAUCUUCAUCCUUAAAAUGAGGGAUACUUUUCUCAAGUUUUUUUUAGAGAAUAAUAAUAAUAUAAAAAUCUU
RNAcentral lists this long non-coding RNA (213 nucleotides) under Elaeis guineensis (African oil palm). RNAcentral's name for it is "long non-coding RNA (EGUI_LNC001087)". The record is from RNAcentral. Lineage: Eukaryota; Viridiplantae; Streptophyta; Magnoliopsida; Arecales; Arecaceae.